Molecule: ribosomal RNA, 468 nt
Filed under: uncultured bacterium
Lineage: Bacteria
Description: partial 16S ribosomal RNA
Rfam family: Bacterial small subunit ribosomal RNA
Source: RNAcentral
GACGAACGCUGGCGGCGUGCUUAACACAUGCAAGUCGAACGGUGAAGCUCCAGCUUGCUGGAGUGGAUCAGUGGCGAACGGGUGAGUAACACGUGAGCAACCUGCCCCUGACUCUGGAAUAAGCGCUGGAAACGGCGUCUAAUACUGGAUACGAGAAGGGUCCGCAUGGGCACUUUCUGGAAAGUUUUUCGGUUGGGGAUGGGCUCGCGGCCUAUCAGCUUGUUGGUGAGGUAAUGGCUCACCAAGGCGAUGACGGGUAGCCGGCCUGAGAGGGCGACCGGCCACACUGGGACUGAGACACGGCCCAGACUCCUACGGGAGGCAGCAGUGGGGAAUAUUGCACAAUGGGCGAAAGCCUGAUGCAGCGACGCCGCGUGAGGGAUGACGGCCUUCGGGUUGUAAACCUCUUUCAGCAGGGAAGAAGCGAAAGUGACGGUACCUGCAGAAGAAGCACCGGCUAACUACGUG